AGAAAGACACAAGUAACCAAAAUGACAUAGUUUAUGACUUAUAUAGCCACCACUUAUAAUACAUGACUUUAGGGGUCAAAAGCCAUUGAAAAGACAAAACAACCCUUACUUAUAACUAAAUAAAAAUAAAAGAAAACUAAAAUAAAUCUUAACUUACAAAAUAUAAAAUAAAACAAAAUAAAAAUCUGGAAUUUGACUUAACAAUUAAAAAAACUGAAAUUUGCAUUAACAAUUAAAAAAAGAAAAGAGAAAAGAGCCCUAAUUAAAACAUGAACUGAACGGUUUCUUCAUUUCAAAUUCUCGUGCUCUUCUUCUUCUUCCUCACAUCCAACCACCGGCGAGCACUACUCCCUGCGGCCACUACUCCCUGCG
RNAcentral lists this long non-coding RNA (372 nucleotides) under Salvia miltiorrhiza (redroot sage). RNAcentral describes it as "long non-coding RNA (SMIL_LNC011931)". The record is from RNAcentral. Lineage: Eukaryota; Viridiplantae; Streptophyta; Magnoliopsida; Lamiales; Lamiaceae.